GACAAUUUGUAGCGGCUGAUAACAGAGUAUCAGAGACCUCAAAAUAGCUUGUUGACACGAUAACACUCCGAGAUGGGCUGCAUAUUUACACCUCCCACACCACCCACUCGGCUCUAAUCACUUUCGGAUGAGUGACCCCUUCUCCGCCUGCCCAUUGGUCAGCUGAUCUCGAGUGCAGUACCAGUACAGUCCGCUCUCGUAGUAACCGUGACGUAACGAGACGCAUCCAACUACGCAAAAACAUUAUCGGCUAUGACUGUCCACGGUCCAGUGAGAGUUCAUCUCACAAUCAGAAUCCGAGUUCCCGAAAUAUCGGACAAAUAUUGAAGAGACUGUUUCACAGUGCUGCGCGCACACUCACUCGGGACAAAUAUUUAAAUGAUCCGUCGGUUUGAACUAUACGGAGUGCGGAAAUGGGCCUCGAAAUGCGGUCGGGAAAUCAGCGUGAAAACGUGCCGAUGCUGGUGUGUUUGGAAGUUUUGAUGUUAAUGAAUUUUCAUGGAGAGCGUUCACCGCGGAGAUCUCAGCGUUGCCGCUCCACUCGUAGCGCGAGGUGCCUUAUAAAAGGCACGACCUUAUGUAAGGCCGGGAGUUUGCGAUCGCUGAGUGUACUGGGGCCAGACCUAGUGACGUCACGGGAACUGGGUCGCUAUUCAGGUCUGCAGCGAUUCACGUGUUCUGGAUCGAGAGACAAAGGUCGAUCUUCCCGGAAUUGUGCAUAACCAUCUAGAGAUCCGGAGAGGCAGAAGACGCAGAGAAGCCACGAACCACGUGUUGUGUAAAACUGUACAAUACGUCUCAAAUAACAUGCCACGGUGACAAGGUAUCUUAGAUUCCAAAAUUUCCGACUUUGGCACAACUUUCCAAGGUCUCUUUUACUGUGCACGUUCUCAAAUUUUGAAAUGUUUUCAAUUUCAAAAUUAUUUGCACUAGAAUUUUCAAUGAAAAGUAUUUUUACGACAAAUUAUACUUGUAAAAAAAAAAAUCAAAAUAUGAAAGGAAAAUUUCUUGGAUUUCAAAAUUUCCUAACUUGUCUGCAACUUUUUGGAGCAUUUAACCAGGAAGUUCACUGACUGACUUUUCCAUGACAUUUCAAUGGUAUUAUUAAUUGUUUGAUUUUUCACGAGUUUUUUACGAGUUUAGCACAAAGUAUCUUGAAAUCGAAAAAACGGAAAAUUCGAGAUUUAAGAGGCAGAGGCUGUACUUGAUGACGAUAUGUAUGAUCUACA
Molecule: long non-coding RNA, 1229 nt
Filed under: Bemisia tabaci
Lineage: Eukaryota; Metazoa; Arthropoda; Insecta; Hemiptera; Aleyrodidae
Description: lncRNA ENSSSA1NGG006801
Source: RNAcentral